Molecule: ribosomal RNA, 310 nt
Filed under: uncultured bacterium
Lineage: Bacteria
Description: bacterial SSU rRNA
Rfam family: Bacterial small subunit ribosomal RNA
Source: RNAcentral
ACUUUUAUCGCAUGGUAGAAGUAUCAAAAGCUCCGGCGGUACAGGAUGGACCCGCGUCUGAUUAGCUAGUUGGUAAGGUAACGGCUUACCAAGGCGACGAUCAGUAGCCGACCUGAGAGGGUGAUCGGCCACAUUGGAACUGAGACACGGUCCAAACUCCUACGGGAGGCAGCAGUGGGGAAUAUUGCACAAUGGGCGAAAGCCUGAUGCAGCAACGCCGCGUGAGCGAUGAAGGCCUUCGGGUCGUAAAGCUCUGUCCUCAAGGAAGAUAAUGACGGUACUUGAGGAGGAAGCCCCGGCUAACUACGUG